This is a non-coding RNA of Pseudogymnoascus sp. 05NY08, 71 nucleotides long. The record is from the annotation of a GenBank genome assembly. Lineage: Eukaryota; Fungi; Ascomycota; Leotiomycetes; Thelebolales; Thelebolaceae.
GCAUUAGUGGUUUAGUAGUAAAAUCCAUUGUUGCCAUUAAUGGGCCCUGUGUUUGAUUCACAGCUAAUGCA